UGCCAGCCGCCGCAGUAAUACGGAGGGGGCUAGCGUUGUUCGGAAUUACUGGGCGUAAAGCGCACGUAGGCGGAUCGGUUAGUUAGAGGUGAAAUCCCAGGGCUCAACCCUGGAACUGCCUCUAAUACUGCUAGUCUUGAGUUCGGGAGAGGUGAGCGGAAUUCCGAGUGUAGAGGUGAAAUUCGUAGAUAUUCGGAGGAACACCAGAGGCGAAGGCGGCUCAUUGGACCGAUACUGACGCUGAGGAGCGAAAGCGUGGGGAGCAAACAGGAUUAGAUA
This 279-nucleotide ribosomal RNA is filed under the name uncultured bacterium. Its description in RNAcentral is "partial 16S ribosomal RNA". It matches the Rfam family "Bacterial small subunit ribosomal RNA", at positions 506 to 784 of the family's 1533-position model. The record is from RNAcentral.